GAUGAAGAACGCAGCGAAAUGCGAUAAGUAAUGCGAAUUGCAGAAUUUCCGUGAGUCAUCGAAUCUUUGAACGCACAUUGCGCCCUUUGGCAUUCCGAAGGCAUGCCUGUUCGAGCGUCAUUAUCCUCCCUCAAACCCCCGGGUUUGGUGUUGGGCCGCGUUGGCACCGUUCGCGGUCCAACUGGUCUCAAAGACAAUGACGGCGUCCGUGGGACCCUCUUCGCACUGAGCUUUCCGGAGCACGCGUCGAGUUGCAAGGUCGCACGGGCCCGGUCACCUAUCGUACUUCGGUACCAUAUUUUUUCAGGUUGACCUCGGAUCAGGUAGGAAUACCCGCUGAACUUAAGCAUAUCAAUAAGCGGAGGA
RNAcentral lists this unclassified non-coding RNA (366 nucleotides) under soil metagenome. RNAcentral's name for it is "partial contains 5.8S ribosomal RNA, internal transcribed spacer 2, and large subunit ribosomal RNA". The stretch from base 1 to 120 matches the Rfam family "5.8S ribosomal RNA", at positions 35 to 154 of the family's 154-position model. The record is from RNAcentral.